This is a long non-coding RNA of Cyprinus carpio carpio, 486 nucleotides long. Lineage: Eukaryota; Metazoa; Chordata; Actinopteri; Cypriniformes; Cyprinidae. The record is from Ensembl.
CAUCUAUACAGAUACAUGCACAGUUCUCCCAUUAUAUUGCAGAACAAAGGCAUCAGAAUACAAUACUACGCAGUUCACUGCUUGUGACAACACACCCAUGACACAGGGCUCGCGCCAUCGUCACCGGUUUUGACGAGACCUGGUUGGACCUCUAGUUGGCGUGACAACUUUGAGAUCCUGAACAUGUAAAACAAUUUCGUUGUUGCAGAUCUCGUCCAGUCUGUAUUUUUGGAUAUUCCUCGCCCACCUUGGAUUCACCUGCACUGGGUUGGAGAAUUACAGCGGCUUGAGCGGGCUGGACUUUAUUCCACUGAAGUUAUUAUCCGAUCGUCUUCCAACUCUUCUCACUGCUUGUUGUAUAUCAAAUAAACCCAUUUAAGCUCUUGCACUUGGAUCUCGAGGCUUGAUCAUUGUGACAAUAGGUCUCCUGUUAUUUUCUAAGCUUCUUAAACACAUCUAAGCAUUAGUCCCAGAAGUUGAAGCCAC